RNAcentral lists this ribosomal RNA (253 nucleotides) under uncultured bacterium. Its description in RNAcentral is "partial 16S ribosomal RNA". It matches the Rfam family "Bacterial small subunit ribosomal RNA", at positions 524 to 776 of the family's 1533-position model. The record is from RNAcentral.
GACAGAGGGUGCAAACGUUGUUCGGAUUUACUGGGCGUAAAGCGCGUGUAGGCGGCUUUGCAAGUCGGAUGUGAAAUCCCACGGCUCAACCGUGGAAGUGCAUCCGAAACUGCAUCGCUCGAGUCUCGGAGAGGAAGGUGGAAUGCUUGGUGUAGAGGUGAAAUUCGUAGAUAUCAAGCAGAACACCUGCGGCGAAGGCGGCCUUCUGGACGAUGACUGACGCUGAGACGCGAAAGCAUGGGGAGCAAACAGG